CCAAAGUCUCGGCCUGUCGCAUUGUGCUUGGUAAACGAGCAAUGAAAUUGAUACAAAGCUGUGAAAGCGAUUUUAGAAGUCAGUCAUAGCCGGCAUUUCGAACAGUUUGGAUGUACUUAGCGGAAAAUAGCGAAACAUAUAGAAACAAGAGAGAUUGAAGAAGGCCAGAAAUAUAGAUAGCAGACAUAUAGGUAGGCUGUACUAAACUGAGGACCACUGUGUGUUGGUAGUGAUUUGAUUUGAACAACAACAACCACUCCCACACCACCUUAAUUGUCACUAAUACUACCGUAACAUUGUGCACGCGUGUGUUUGUGUCCUUUUUGGGUUUUCGAUUUUGUGACUAUUUGAGAUUAAAUAGCAUUAAUAUUGGUCGAGCUGGCAAUGUUGAUGCUGGCUGUCAGUUAAUGCUUAAGUGAUGUGUUUGUGCAUUUGCUGUUUCGUGUGUGUAAAAAGAUUAGAUUUUGCAUAAAAUUGACACACUCACAAUGCUGCAUAUGCCUCUUGUGUACUUUAAUGUAAAGAUGCGGGCGAACAGUUUCCUUUAAAUGUAUUUUAGUGCGUCACAUCACACGCAUCUGGAAGCGUUAUUGAAAGCACGCAUAAGCGGUGUAGCGCUUAGUACUAUGCCACAUUGUUUUAGAGCCGUUUGGUGGAAGUAGUCCGGAAUUAAAGUUAACGCUGUGCGCGCACGGUGCGGACGGUUUAAAUGCAGCAGAGUAUUGCGCGGUCGGGUCGAAUCGUAAAUUAAGUCGCUUUUAGUGCCGUAUUUUAGUAUUUUCGUCAACAGCGCAAUUUUCCAGAGUGUUUUCGCCCAAAAAUGUGCUUAUAAAAAAUUUAUAAACGAACGCAAUUAAAGCGAAAAAUGUAGCUGAAUUGUAACGAACGCUGAAGUGUUUGCUGCUUUUGAGUGAACAGCGGUAAUAAAAUAAAUGCAUACAUUAUAAAAUAAAAAAAAAACUAAAAUUGAAUAUAAGGCUGAAAGUUUUUCGCCUGAAUUUGCACAAGGGCUCAAGGAGCAAACGGGCUCUAACUGCUGCUAUGAUGAGGAGCGAUAGUAAAGUAUUUAAGAGUACAAUGGAAUGUGAACGUAAAGGUGUGUAUGCAAAAUAAGGAGAAAGCCAAAUUAAAACAAGGGAAGGUUGAAGUAUCAAAAGUUGGAAAUUCCAAACUAGGUUGGAAUAAAAAGUGUGUGUAAAAGUGUAAAUGGAAUUACGGCGUGCGAAGAGGAAUUGUAACUGAGUUGAUGAGGUGAAAGCACGUAAUUAACCAAGCGUGGGUGUAAUAAUAAUAAAAGUCAUAGCAGCAUUUCAGGCGGUGCGCAAGAUCAACUCCCUUGACUUCCAACACCUCUUUGGCACUAUCCAAUUGCGCAACAAUUAUGUUGGACAACUAAUGCACUCUACGUAAUUACAAAAAAUGCCAAAUAAUUGAAAGCAAAACUGCAAUAAAGGGAAAUAGUUAACCAAAAAACUGUCUGAGUUCUAACCGCUGUAAACAAACAGUAAAUUAAAGAGAGGGACACAUAUUCAUAUGAACAAGGAUGUGCGUGCUGCUGUUAACAUUACUCAAGGCAAAAAGUACCAUGCCCAAGUCCUCGCUGUUGCUACCAUUGUUAGCAGUGCUGAUGGUCAUGCUGCCGACGCCGCCAGUUGCCAAAGCCACAAGCGGCUUACGCGUGCCCACUUUCAUGCAAGAACCGCCGGCGCGUCUGCUCUUCAGCAAUGACACCGGCACUCAGAUCAGCUGCACGUCGCAUGGUAAUCCGCCACCGGUGGUAUCGUGGGUGCUCAAGGAUGGCACGAUGGCGACGCAGGUGCCGGGACUCAGAAAAAUUACUGGUAAUGGCACAUUAUAUUUCCCACCGUUUUUGGCGCAAUACUAUCGCACAGACGUGCACGAGACGAUAUAUCGCUGUCGAGCAGCCAAUGAAGCCGGCACUGUGUUGAGCCGGAACGUGCAGGUGCAAGCAGUUGUUCGCCGACAGUUUCAUGUGCACGUGGAAAACACCGAAGUCUAUUUGGGAAAUUCAGCGUUGAUCAAGUGCGCUAUUCCGGACUAUGUGAGACCGUAUGUUAAGGUGUCCAGCUGGCAUCGCGGUGAGGAGAUACUACUGCCCGAUCUAUCAGAUGUUGCUGGCCGUUAUGUGGUACUUUCGUCAAAUGGGGAUCUCUAUAUACGCUCGGUGCGCACAGAGGACAGCUUAGUGAAGUUUUCUUGCCUGGUGACAAACACACUGAAUGGGGAUAAGCAGCGCAGUGAUGCUAUAAUGUUGCAGGUGAAAGAGCUGAGUAAAAAUCUUGCUCCACGUACUACUCAGAAGCCAGUAAUGGAAAUACAUGUGGAACGGGGUAAUGAUGUCCAUUUACCGUGCAACAUCCAGGGAAAUCCUUUUCCUAUAUUUACAUGGUAUCGUGUUUCGGAUUCAUCAGCAUUGUACCCGAUUCCAUCUUCACAGCGUGUAAUAUUGUCACGCACGCUGUUACUUAUCAAAAAUGCUGACGAACGGGACGCCGGCAAAUGGGUGUGCCAAGCGGCGAAUCAAUUCGGCGAACAGCGCAUCGAAAUCCGUCUGCUGGUUAACUCAUAUGUGUCGGUGCAUAUUCUGCCGCAAGUGCAAAUUGUCAAUUCGGGCGGAAUGGCAAUUUUCAACUGUUCGACCACGGGUUCAGCUAUCGAUGGCGUCGAGUGGCUGCACAAUGGAAUGCCGUUACAGGGCAACAAUGCGCUUAGCAACGGCCGGGAGAACAUACAGUUUCUUACGAAAACAUCGCUGAUGGUACAUAACGUAGGACGUAGAGAUCGGGGAGUCUAUCAGUGCUUGGUGAAGAAUAGCAGAGCCAGUGCCCAAGCCAUGGCCGAAUUGAAGUUGGGCGAUACCGUGCCUGAACUAAUUUACACCUUUAUUGAGCAAAAUGUGCGGCCGGGGCCAUUAAUAUCGCUUAAGUGCUCUGCCAGUGGUUCGCCGCCACCGCAAUUUGCCUGGGUGUUGGACUCCCAGCCGAUAAUGGACGUUUCGCUGCAUCACCGCUUUGCCAUCGGUCAGUUCGUCGAUAUAUCUGGCGAUGUGAUUAGUCACUUGAAUAUGUCGCAUGUGCGUCCAGACGAUGGCGGCCUUUACAAGUGUAUCGCCACCAAUUCGAUGGGAAGUGUGGAGCACUCGGCGAGAUUGAAUGUUUAUGGUCCGCCAUAUGUACGCGCCAUUGGCCCCAUAAAAGCUGUCGCCGGCGAAGAUAUAAUUGUUCAUUGUCCAUUUUCCGGUUAUCCAAUCGAACAAAUUAGAUGGGAGAAAGGACAUCAGGAAUUGACAUCAAACACACACUACUUGAUGACACCAGUGCAGCAGGGCGGCUAUCUUGUCAUCAAGGAUGUCGAACCGACCCGUGAUCAGGGCAUGUAUACAUGCAUUGUAAGGAGCAGGGCCGGAGAGGAGGCGCGGCGCGAUGUGCAACUAAAUGUUAACAGUCCACCAGUGAUUGAAGCAUUCAAGUUUCCCAAGAAUCUGCAAGAGGGAGGACGUGCACAGAUAACUUGUGCCGUUUCAUCUGGUGAUAUGCCAAUCUAUUUCAGUUGGAAGAAGGAUGACAUGUCCAUACCGACAAGUUUGCAGAUUACUGAGAAAAAGGAGGAAUUCUAUUCGCUAUUGGUGUUCAAGGAUAUCAGCGCAAAGCAUAGCGGGAAAUAUACCUGCUAUGCGAGUAAUGCGGCAGCCAAGGUGAACUACACUGCCGAAUUACAAGUCCGAGUUGCGCCACGCUGGGCGCUAGAGCCAAUGGACACGGCCAUCAUGCUUGGCAAUACAAUAUCGAUAAAUUGCGAGGCGGAAGGAUAUCCGAUUCCAACUAUUACCUGGUUCAAAGGGCAGGGCAAACUGUCACAAGACUUUAAGCCGCUCAGCAUGCGCAACAACUCGCUAGUGCUUAAUCUAGCCACGGACAUUGAUGAGGGCUACUACAUGUGUCACGCAGCAAAUGAUAUUGGAGUCGGUCUCAAGAAAAUUAUACGUAUCAAUGUGAAUGAACCCGCCCGCUUCGAACAAGGGGCACGCAAUGUAUCAUCACGACGCAAUGACCCCGUUAGUCUCGACUGCCAGGCGAAAGGCGACGAGCCCAUCGCGAUUUCAUGGACACACAACAAUGGCCGAAUUGAUCUAAACAAUUUCCGUUUUAGCAUUGCGGAAAUGAAAACGGAUAAGGGCGUCGACUCACAGCUGACCAUUGCCCGUUCGGAUCGUCACGAUUCGGGCAUUUAUCGUUGCAUUGCCGAAAAUCCGUAUGGACGCACUGAGUUCGUCAUCUUCUUGGCCGUUCAAGAACGUCCUGACACUCCAUCUGUACUGGAAGUCUUUGAGGUGGGCUCACGCACCGUAAAACUGUCGUGGCGCCGCCCAUUCGAUGGCAAUUCGCCAGUACUCAGCUAUCUCGUACAAUAUCAGCCAUUGAAGUAUCUGCAGUCACAUGCUGCGCUUGGCAUGGCGGGUGGGGAUUGGAGUGGUCCAAACAUCAUCAAUGUCACUCUGCCGUCGACGAGUAUUAGCCGGAGCUACGACACCGAUUUGAGGGAAAGUGCCAUUGUGACAGGAUUGACACCGGCAACCACUUUUCUCAUUCGCAUGCAGGCAAUCAACGAAAUCGAGCGGAGUCCAUUCACCGAUCCUAUUGUGCUGAAAACUCAAGAAGAGGCUCCAACCGAAGCACCCUCAAAUGUGCAGGUGCAAACUGGUGGCGAAAGUGAACUGAUUGUGACAUGGCAGAUACCAUCACGUGAAUCUUGGAAUGGUGAACUCAUCGGCUAUACUGUUAACUGCAGCGAGGAAAAACAGAACAUCAACUACAUUAGCGUUGUCAAUAAUUCACUCAAGUCGGUGAUUGUAAGUGGUUGGGCCACCACAAAAGCAACCAUUCGCGGGUUGCGCAAAUACACCAGGUACGCGGUGACUGUGCGAGCACUCAAUAGCUUUGGUUCGGGACCCUGGAGUGCUGCCAUUUUCGGAACGACAGCCGAGGGUGUUCCUGAAGCUCCGCCGCGGCAUGUUAACUGUACCGCAUUGUCGUCGCAAAGUCUGAAGAUAUCCUGGCUCGAGCCGCCGUUGCAAUUUCAUGGUGGAAUAAUCCAAGGCUAUAAAAUUUUAUAUCGGCCAAUUGUGAAUCAAAUUGACUUCCCCGCAAAAUUGGAGGUGAAGCGUACCUCCAAUCUGGAGACUUACUUACACACUCUCCAUAAGGCGACUAAUUACUCCCUACGUGUGUUGGCAUAUACGGCAACUGGGGACGGUUUGUCCAGUCAACCGUUAUAUUGCCAAACUGAGGAUGAUGUGCCGGACGCUCCAGCGUCUAUAAAAGCAGCCGCAUUAACGGCUGAUUCAAUAUUGAUUUCGUGGUUGCCGCCAAAAAAUCGCAAUGGAAUAAUUUCGCAUUACACAGUUUAUUCGCGCGAAGCUGGGCGGAAAGGGCAAGCGAAAUCUCAUAUGGUGCGCGUCGAUGAGAAUGGUUAUCCGGUGACUUAUGAAGCACGCGGGCUUGCAGAAAACCAAAUGUACGAAUUCUGGGUUUCUGCCUCAACAUCCGUUGGAGAGGGAGAACCAACAUCUGUGGUUGCGCAGGCCACAAAUACGCGUGGUAAGUGUGUCAGAGUGUAUGUAGGUGUGACAGGACAGAGGUGUAUGCGGUCCGUUCGACCACCAGCCCUCUGAUUGAUGGCUCUGUAAGCACGUUAAUGCAGUAAAGCGGCAUCCAUAACAACAACAACAUAAUUCAUCGAUCCUAUAGAAAAUUAAAAAUUAAAUUAACAGUAGGUAAAAAAUAUUAUUACACCGCGCUGUUCAUUGUGAAAACGAAAAGAUUGAUAUGUGUGUAAUUGCUUUAAUUCGUUCACGGAGAAAAAUCAAUGUUCUCGUGAUUAUCGCAAAUUUUAUUUAAAAGAUACCAAUGACUGAAGUAUAAUAUUUUUUGUGUCCUGCAAGGUUAUUCUUUCGGUUUUUCUUUAGUUUAAUUAAAAGACAGGUAUGCGAAAUCGAGAUGGUUUUAAAUUUUCGCACCUACCCUACAUAUACUCGUAAUUAAAUUCUGAAUGCAUAUAUACAUAUGUAUGUACACUCACGCAUGUUUAUGCAUAACAUAAACUAACUAAGCUAAGCAAUUUCGCUUUGUAAAAUCUUUCAUAAAUUGGCAGCUUAGUUUUUAUAAUCCCAGCACUAAAUUAUUCUAAUCUAAUCUAAUAAAUCAAUCUAAAUUAUAUCAAUAAUAAUCCAAAAAUUAUCGUGAGCGUUUGCGUCACCUACCUGUCAGUAAGAGCGACCCGACAGCAGUAAAACCCAAGCCCCUGCACGGAUCGCUUCUUUUGGCCAACUAGUUCGGAAAGCUGUCGGCACUGCCUUGAUUUUGGAAUGUUUGGCUGUGGGAAAUCCGACGCCGCGAGCUAGAUGGUUAACUAGAGACCGGCCUGUCACAUUCAGUCCCUUUUAUGAGGUGACUAACGAAGGAAAUCUAAAACUACACCGCGUAGAGAGCAGUCUGUCCGGAAAUUACACUUGUACGGCGAAUAAUCUGUUCGGAAGCGAUGAGAUUCAAUAUCAAGUGAUUGCCAUGAAGCCACCCUUCGCCCCCCAAAUCAUUGUGCAAUAUGCGUCAGCUGAUAGCAUACGUGUCAGCUGGGAUCCGCCGGACGACGGUGGUGCCCCAUUGCAGGGGUAUACCAUUUCGCACCGCAUCACAGGAGAGACAUGGACACAGACCGAAUUGAUGCCGGAGAAUAACGCUUAUACGAUAACGGGCUUGAAAUGUGGCAAUCAGUAUAUCAUCAAGAUAUCGGCGCAUAACAUUGUCGGCGACGGCGUGUCCAGUGAGGAAAUUAACGUCUGGACCAAGGGCAAAGCCUCACAGGCGCCGAACGGGAAUGAACUGAUAGCCACUAACGCGUCCUGUGUGAAUUUGAAACUAUCAACGUGGAACAAUGGUGGCUGCCCCAUACAUCACUUCUCCAUUGAGCACCGACCGCUCGGGGACAUCCGUUGGACGGUCGUCACAUCCGACAUCUCGAAUGCCGAAGAGAAUCGCGAAAAUUUAAUAUUUUGCGAUUUCCUGCCAGCCAAGUGGUAUCAACUGCGCGUUUCGGCCACAAAUGAUGCUGGUAAAACCACUGAACACUAUCAUUUUGCAACAACGAGUCUGGAUGGAGUGACAAUACCACCGCCACAGGUUUUCCCAUCGGAAAAUGAUUUGAUGAACAAUCUGAUAAAUGCAACAAAUCCCACCAACGGUGAUUGGUUUUCAACAUUGAUCGUCAUCGUUAUCAUCACCGUGGCUAUCAUUACCAUUGCUUUAACAAUUAAGCAUCGUCGCACUCUGUGCGGCCCCAUGGCCGAUGGCUACGAGUCGCGUACACUACCCGGUGAUUACAAGGAAGACCAUGACAAUCGACGCAAUCAGCAGGUGUACAGCGCUUCUCCAGUGAAAACUGUAGAUAAAGGAAACGAAUCAGAAAUGUAUGAGAUUUCGCCUUAUGCUACAUUCAGCGUGAAUGGUGGACGGACGGGCACGGGUGCAGGCUCUUCUUCGAAAGCACCACCUCGCGAUGGUGUUUCCGCCUCCCCAAUGGAUUACACCAUGCAAUUUAAAACUUUCGGGCAUCCAGAGGGCGACAAUCUCAAUGCUACAGCUUAUCCUUUGAUACCGGGCAGCGGCGGAUUCGGGCAUGUCAAGUCCAAGUCUAGCUGGCACAAGCAGCGCUACUUCAACACGGACGAUGAAUCUACACUUAGCAAAUCGAUGACCAUGGUGGCUGGGUCACAAUCGGGGUAUUCGAAGAAGAGCGGACGCGGUAGCAAGAGCGCCAGCAGCAGUAGUGGUGGUGGAGGUGGUAGCGGUAGUGGAGUUGUAGGCGAUUCUGGUGGAGUAGUGGCUGGCGCACACUGUGAAUCGGAGUCCGAUACGAGUAUAAGUCCCAGUACUGAGUUUUCCAAUAUGCCAACAUAUAGAGUUCCUUGUAAGUCGAUGCGCAGCAGCGAUAGGCGCGUAGCUGCAGAUAUGUUUCGACCAGACUCGAGCACGGAAUCCAACAAUGAACAGUCCUCACCGGUGGACCGACGAAUAAGUGGACGGCGGCAACUGGGCGAGGUGCUUGAUGGCGCAGGAAUUGCUGGAGGUGGAAUUGGGAGUGGAGAGAGUGACAAACGUGGACAUCGUAGUAGGAAACAACAGCAACAACUGCAAUUACAACAGCAAGGAAAAGAGCAUCAAACGCUGGACCGGAGAAUAGGCCCUGGAAGUAACAACAGGUAGUUCAGGUACCUAAACCCCAAACACCACCAAAGAAAAUUGAUUUGAAUUGAUAACAAAUUAGACAGGGUAUCAAAUACACGUUAGAGACUAGAGUAAUGAAAUACAUACAUAUGUUGGUAUGUACAUUGCAGUAUUAUGUUUUGCGAAAAAAAGUCAAAACAACACUUGUGAAAUUAUUUUCAACCAGAUGCGAAACAAGUUACUCAGUGUAAUAUAAUAUUUGAAAUUUACUUCUUAUUUUUUGUUCACUUUUUUUCUUAACAGUGGCGCCUACUUCUUAGUCAAUGAUUUGGACUAAAGUAUUUUCAGUAAUAAGUGAAGUAUUUUAAUUGUCAUUUUUUAAAACCAGAUAUAUGAGUAUAAAUAUACGGUUUAAACUACUAUACUAUAACUAUCUUAGAUGUACUUACAUGUAUACUUUUACAUAAACUUUAGAUAACAAGACGAUUAUUUAUUAUUUUUGUAGCAUGAACAGAGUAUAUUAAGUUAAUAUUGCCACGAAGUUUAUAACACUCAGAAGGAACCUUCGGAGACAAUUUAAAAUAUAUUAUAUAUAAUAUACUUGUACAAUGUAUAAAUAAUCAGUGAGAAGAGCUGAGUCGAUUUUACAAUACCCGACUGUCUGUCGGUCCGUCCGUCCAUCUGUCAGUAUAUACAAAAACUAGUCCUUCAGUUUUAGAUAUCGAUUUGAAAUUUCACACACGUCCAGACACGUUUCUACAGAAAAAAGUUUUCUUCUGUAACUAUGCCGCAAAUUAAGGUAAAAAACUGUAAUUUGGUAUAGCGAAACGUAGUAAAGAAGAGCGUCUAUUGUUGGGAAUUUAUUGAAAAGUGGGCGUGGCCGCCUCCUUAUAGAUUAAAUGCAUUUAUCGCCAAACCACUAAAGUUAUUGCAUAUCAACCAAAUUUGUGAGGGCAAGUACUCUUUGCAUUUCCUCCGACAGUGUGAAAAUGCGUGGAACCUAUUGAUACUCCAUAUACAGUGUGUUUAAAAAAUAACGUUUCCGUUUUCCAAAGUGUAGGUAGCGUUUUUUGGGAAACAUGUUGUAAUUAUAGAAAAUACGUUGUUUGGUCUUAGCUGCGUUAAAUCAAUACUUACUCCAAUCUCCCUCGUUGUCUAUUAUAGCCGGACAUCUUAGAUGGCAACUUUCAACCUAAUUUUCUGCAUAUUCCACAGGAAGCGACAUCUAGGUAUGUUGGAGUAGCCAAAUGAAAUGGUUUGUUAACGUUAAAAGUUUUCCUGAUAUCAAUGCUUUUAUUAAAGAUUCUCUAUUGGAUUGGCGUCUGUUGACUGUGAUGACCAAUCUAAAGCAACAAAAUGGUUUGCUUGUUUCCAUUGAGAACAGAGUCUGCUCGUAUGUUUAGGAUCAUUGUCUUCUUGCAGUAUCCAUUCCGUUAUUUUUGACGUUAAGGAUUGCAGCUGACUCCAGUAAAUUAUUUUUAUUCCAUUUUAUCGUUCUGAUGGCGUUCAGGUUUUCUGUGAAGCCACUCAAAACUCGAAAUCGAUCAGCAAAGAAAUAUCCAUAAACAUGCAUAUUUUGGGAGUGCUUGCACUACUUUGAAUAAAUGUUUAUCGUUUUCUUAGACAAACACGUCUCAAGGGGUUGAACGAUACAAAAGUUGACUCAACGGUAAACACUACAGUAAUCCAAUCACGUUUGAUACUUAUUUGCGCACCAUGCAACCUUUUUUGAAUACGGGAUUUCUGAAGUCUGUCCCGUAUUUUAUUUAGAAAUAUAUAUAAUAGUAAUUAAAUUUUGGUAAAUACCUGAAAACAUGCCGGCUUUGACCAUUGAAAAUUACAAGUAUAAAAUGUUUGAUUACACCCGACCUCAGAUCAUCCUUACUUGAUGUUAUUUCUCUUUAUUCUUCAAGUUACUAUUUGCCUAUUAUAUUAAAAAAAACUCGUUUCGAAGAUAUAGGUAUAUUUAAAGCCAAAAUCUGUCAAGUUUUCAAAGGAAUCCGAAUACGAGUAUGUAAACCGUGAGAACUGCAACUAGUCGCUCUUUAAAUAUUAUUCUAUAUUACUCAUGCUUACUUAUAUUUAUUUAAAAAUACUUAUGUACAUCAAAGCGUUUAUAAUAUUGCUGCAUUUAAUUUUAAAAUGUUUCGUGUUUUUUCAUCGCUUUCCACAGUGUAGACAGUGAGGUUAACUCGGAUAUGGGUACCUCCUUUACGGCCACCAUAGCCGCUGUGGCUGCGGGAGACCUGGGUUUUCGUCCACCGUCGGGUUUUACUGAUUCGCGUGAAUUCAGCGAAGCUGAAUGCGAUCGCGAGCAACGUGCACUGGACUUGGAAGUGCAACGUGUUAUGGAAAACACCGACGGACAAUUGGCCAAGAUGGAUCGAGAGGAAUUGACUUCACUGCUAGCAAGAUACCAUGAGAAAAAGGAGCAGGAGCGCCUGGAAUAUACUAUACAUGUUUAAUAUUUAUUGGAGACUAUUCCCAUGAAUAUUCACAUAUGCAACCGCAUUGAUAUAAGUACACUGCUGAGCUAGUGAGUGCCUAAUCAAAGUAACUAUUGCAUUUUAAAUACUCGCGCGCUGAAAAAUGAAGAAAUAAAGCAAACUGACUACAACAAAUCAACUAACGAUCAACUCUCAAAGGCAACAAAUGCAUUUAUACACGCUCACAAACAAGGACCUAUACCAAGUAUCAAUUUUAACUAAACCAAAUGUGACAAAUUGAUUUUAUUUACCAUAUAGCAUACAAGCUCGUAGAAUGCUAUUUCCACUCACAGAUAAGUAUUUAAGUAUGUAAAUAUAUUGCAGUUGAGCAUCCUGCAGGACAACAUAAUAUAGUUCCCUUUAAUCAGUAAUUUUUUAAUGCACACGAAUGGACUUAGACAAAUUCUUGUUCAUAAACUUAAAGCCACAGUUAUAAAAUUAACUUAUGGUACACAAAAUAGACUCCGUUCAAGAUGAAGUUAUUCCUCCUGGGAGUCUCAAUAUAAUCUUCCCCCUACACUUGAAGCUUAAUAACUUCCUUAUUGAUGCCAGAUGUAGCGGAAACUUUGCGGAAUUCUUAAAGUUAAGCUACUGCAAGAUUGAUAAAUUUUAUUUAAUGUUCCCUCUAGGCUAUCAAUGGAAUUGAUAGUCUUGGAACUUUAAACACCUGAGCUAUUAACUACAUGAUCUUAGCUCUCUUUCCAGUGCAUUUGUCAUAUUUGAUUCAUUUUAGAAUCAGAAUCAUAUCAGCAUUAAUAAAACAAGAAAAUGAUACUGCUUCCUUCUGAAUGAACUGAAAUUUAGAUCUCGACAUUCAACAAACACUUGCCUAUCGUUACUCGGAACGAAUAAUAAAAUUUAAUUGCUUACGGACUACGCUGGAAUAAAAAUAUUCGCAAUCAUUGUCUCCUCUGAUGUGUUGGCUUCCGGGUUUUUGCUUCUAAAAUUUUGAUAUUGUGAAGUGGUGAAAAUCUAUUCAUUAACAAGGUACGUGGGCCUACGAAGUAAACAUAUACUUAUCUAUGUAGGUGUGCAUGUCGUGUGGCAGCACUCAUUGAAUUGGCCAUAGCAACUAUACUUGUAUAUUUACAAAUAACAACGAUAUGUACACACACAUAGCCACACUUCGCAGAAAAAAUUCAUAAAAUAUGUUUGUGAUUUACACUUUUAUGCACUGUUAUUGCAAGUGUGUUUUUUUACCUGUGCGCAGUUAUAUACGUAAGUGCGGGGUACGAGUUUUUCAACUUCGCAUUACAGCAAAGAUAUCUAAAAGUGCGUAUAACGCUUUCGAUUGUAUUUUGGAAUUAGUUUUACGUAAUGAUAAGAUACAUCUAUAUGAUAAUGAAAAUGUAAUAAUAAAAACAGCAAAAACUUUAACUUCGGCUGCACUGAAGCUACAAUACCCUUCUUAUUUCAGUCUGUUUACAGCUAUAUCCUAAUCUGAUAUCGGUGACGGACAGACGUACAUAAAUAAAUCGACUCAGCUAAAUUGAUUAUAAACACAUACAGAACUUUUAAUUAAAUAUUAGAAAUUAAGCAUAGAAAAUGAAACACAAAAUCAAUUUUAUGGCAGUUUGUGCUGGAGUUUUUAAGCUUAGCAGAAAAAAUAUCACCAAAAUGUUAAUAAAAACCAUUUGAUUACUAUUCCUAACCAAUUCUUUAUUGUUUUCGGUAAAGCACUGUGAGCAAAAUGUUUUAUAAGAGUAUAAUAAUUCCAACACAUAGGUAGAAUAUAAACGAAUAUCCAAAGCCAAUUCGGUAACAUAGAUAUAGCAUUUUGCAAUAACAUAGAAUACGUUCGAGCCAAAACAAUUUUCUUAUAUCUAUCACUCUGAGAUCCCUCGAGCUAUUGAAGAGUUUUAACUAAAGUUUGUGGGAGACGGAUUUUCUUUAAUAGUAUAACACACAUUUUAUUGCAUUGGAGUGCAUUACAUCUUAGCAUAAAAUUAAAAA
Bactrocera oleae (olive fruit fly) is the source of this 12679-nucleotide non-coding RNA. Lineage: Eukaryota; Metazoa; Arthropoda; Insecta; Diptera; Tephritidae. The record is from RefSeq and is a predicted model, not a curated record.